RNAcentral lists this ribosomal RNA (182 nucleotides) under Candidatus Bathyarchaeota archaeon. RNAcentral describes it as "partial 16S ribosomal RNA". The record is from RNAcentral. Lineage: Archaea; Thermoproteati; Candidatus Bathyarchaeota.
CUUCGCCACUGGUGGUCUUCCCGGGAUUAUAGGAUUUCACCCCUACCCCGAGAAUACCGACGGCCUCUCUCGCCCCCUAGCCGAACAGUAUCCCCCGCAGACCAACGAUUGAAUCGUUGGGUUUAACAGGGGACUUGCUCAGCCAGCUACGGAUGCUUCAGGCCCAGUAAUCAUCCACACCA